RNAcentral lists this ribosomal RNA (253 nucleotides) under uncultured bacterium. RNAcentral's name for it is "partial 16S ribosomal RNA". It matches the Rfam family "Bacterial small subunit ribosomal RNA", at positions 524 to 776 of the family's 1533-position model. The record is from RNAcentral.
UACAGAGGUCCCGAGCGUUGUUCGGAUUCACUGGGCGUAAAGGGUGCGUAGGUGGCAUGGUAAGUUUGAUGUGAAAGCUCAGGGCUUAACCCUGAAAUGGCAUUGAAUACUACUGUGCUGGAGGUUUGGAGGGGGGACUGGAAUUCUUGGUGUAGCGGUGAAAUGCGCAGAUAUCAGGAGGAACACCGGUGGCGAAGGCGGGUCUCUGGGCCGAUACUGACGCUGAGGAGCGAAAGCGUGGGGAGCGAACAGG